Molecule: long non-coding RNA, 217 nt
Organism: Humulus lupulus (European hop)
Lineage: Eukaryota; Viridiplantae; Streptophyta; Magnoliopsida; Rosales; Cannabaceae
Exons: 3
Source: RefSeq, a predicted model, not a curated record
UGCAUAGUGAUUAGUAAUCCUUAAGGAAGGGACUUCUAUAUUACAGGAGAGAGCUAUGCAGGACAUUAUGUUCCUCAGCUGAGCCAGGCAAUUGUAAAACACAACUCUGCAACAAAGGAAAAAGCCAUUAAUCUGAAGGGUUAUAUGGUGGGAAAUGCUUUAACUGACGAUCACCAUGAUCACUUGGGGCUUUUCCAAUUCAUGUGGUCAGCUGGCU